GUGUGUGUGUGUUUCUGGCGUUCCCUGUGUGUGUGUGUGUUGUUUUCUGGCGUUCCCUGUGUGUGUGUGUGUGUUUCUGGCGUUCCCUGUGUGUGUGUGUGUGUGUUUCUGGCUUUCCCUGUGUGUGUGUGUGUGUGUGUGUGUUUCUGGCGUUCCCUGUGUGUGUGUGUGUGUGUGUUUCUGGCGUUCCCCUUGGUGUGUAUGUGUGUUUCUGGCAUUCCCUGUGUGUGUGUGUGUUUCUGGCAUUCCCUGUGUGUGUG
Long non-coding RNA from Oncorhynchus tshawytscha (Chinook salmon), 260 nucleotides. The record is from Ensembl. Lineage: Eukaryota; Metazoa; Chordata; Actinopteri; Salmoniformes; Salmonidae.